Molecule: ribosomal RNA, 397 nt
Filed under: uncultured Prochlorococcus sp.
Lineage: Bacteria; Bacillati; Cyanobacteriota; Cyanophyceae; Synechococcales; Prochlorococcaceae
Description: bacterial SSU rRNA
Rfam family: Bacterial small subunit ribosomal RNA
Source: RNAcentral
CGGCGUGCUUAACACAUGCAAGUCGAACGAACCUUCGGGUUAGUGGCGGACGGGUGAGUAACGCGUGAGAAUCUGCCCUCAGGAGGGGGAUAACGGUUGGAAACGACCGCUAAUACCCCAUAUGCCUACUGGUGAAAUGAAUUUCGCCUGAGGAUGAGCUCGCGUCUGAUUAGCUAGUUGGUGAGGUAAUGGCUCACCAAGGCUUCGAUCAGUAGCUGGUCUGAGAGGAUGAUCAGCCACACUGGGACUGAGACACGGCCCAGACUCCUACGGGAGGCAGCAGUGGGGAAUUUUCCGCAAUGGGCGAAAGCCUGACGGAGCAACGCCGCGUGAGGGACGAAGGCCUUUGGGCUGUAAACCUCUUUUCUCAAGGAAGAAGAUAUGACGGUACUUGAGG